This 503-nucleotide ribosomal RNA is filed under the name uncultured bacterium. Its description in RNAcentral is "partial 16S ribosomal RNA". It matches the Rfam family "Bacterial small subunit ribosomal RNA", at positions 28 to 523 of the family's 1533-position model. The record is from RNAcentral.
GAUGAACGCUAGCGGCAGGCCUAACACAUGCAAGUCGAGGGGUAGCAGGAUUAAGCUUGCUUAAUUGCUGACGACCGGCGCACGGGUGCGUAACGCGUAUGCAACCUACCUUAUACUGGGGUAUAGCCCGGAGAAAUUCGGAUUAAUCCCCCAUAGUACUAAUGAAUCGCAUGGUUUAUUAGUUAAAGCAUUGCGGUAUAAGAUGGGCAUGCGUCCUAUUAGCUUGUUGGCGGGGUAACGGCCCACCAAGGCAACGAUCAGUAGGGGUUCUGAGAGGAAGGUCCCCCACAUUGGAACUGAGACACGGUCCAAACUCCUACGGGAGGCAGCAGUGAGGAAUAUUGGUCAAUGGGCGGAAGCCUGAACCAGCCAAGUAGCGUGCAGGAUGACGGCCCUAUGGGUUGUAAACUGCUUUUAUACAGGAAUAAAGUUAGCCACGUGUGGUUAUUUGUAGGUACUGUAUGAAUAAGGACCGGCUAAUUCCGUGCCAGCCGCCGCAGUAA